RNAcentral lists this ribosomal RNA (501 nucleotides) under uncultured bacterium. Its description in RNAcentral is "partial 16S ribosomal RNA". It matches the Rfam family "Bacterial small subunit ribosomal RNA", at positions 28 to 523 of the family's 1533-position model. The record is from RNAcentral.
GUUGAACGCUGGCGGCAGGCUUAACACAUGCAAGUCGAGCGGGGGAAGGUAGCUUGCUACCGGACCUAGCGGCGGACGGGUGAGUAAUGCUUAGGAAUCUGCCUAUUAGUUGGGGACAACAUCUCGAAAGGGAUGCUAAUACCGCGUACGUCCUACGGGAGAAAGCAGGGGAUCUUCGGUCCUUGCGCUAAUAGAUGAGCCUAAGUCGGAUUAGCUAGUUGGUGGGGUAAAGGCCUACCAAGGCGACGAUCUGUAGCGGGUCUGAGAGGAUGAUCCGCCACACUGGGACUGAGACACGGCCCAGACUCCUACGGGAGGCAGCAGUGGGGAAUAUUGGACAAUGGGGGGAACCCUGAUCCAGCCAUGCCGCGUGUGUGAAGAAGGCCUUAUGGUUGUAAAGCACUUUAAGCGAGGAGGAGGCUACUCUAGUUAAUACCUAGGGAUAGUGGACGCUACUCGCAGAAUAAGCACCGGCUAACUCUGUGCCAGCCGCCGCCGUAA